Molecule: long non-coding RNA, 4953 nt
Organism: Bombyx mori (domestic silkworm)
Lineage: Eukaryota; Metazoa; Arthropoda; Insecta; Lepidoptera; Bombycidae
Exons: 3
Source: RefSeq, a predicted model, not a curated record
UUUGUUUAUUUAAGUACCCUUACUUUUGAAGUUAAUUUGAAAAUCCAGUUGGAGCCAUUAACAUCGCGUCUAAUAUUAAUUGAACGUUAUGAACUGAACCCAGAUCUGUCACAGGUUUCCAAAAGCCCCAAUUGAAGUUUGCGUUGAUUUGCAUCACGCGAAUGAAAUAAUGGAAAGUGGAGGGAUUGCACGUGCCUCAGACGCCUUCCCAGUUCUACCGGGACAGUUGAGCGGACACGGGUUCAGCCAGGAGGAUUGAGAUUUCUUGAUAGCUGCCGAAGGUAAUUUGACAGUCCAAGGAUAGCUGCUUCGCGAAUGCUUCUACUACCGUAUCGUAUUUGCGACCCGCUGACAAUAUCCGGCGAGAAACUCAGCGGGCUGUCAAUAUGAGGUAUGUUGCACGUCGGUCUUCGACGAGCUUGACAAGUACGGUACCUGUAUUGUGCUUAAACUCAGCAUUAGAGCUAGAACCGCUAGAAUGAUGGUAUAGUAGCACACUUGAUUGCGGAACACCGGCCGUGUUAAUAAUAUAAUCUAUAUAUUAAUACGUGAAGCAAACACUUUGUAUCCCUUUUUACGAAUAUUGCGCGGGCGGAGGAGUAUGAAAGGAGAAACCCCAUUUUGGGCCUAAGCGUUACACGAAUGGGAUAUGUACCAAAAAAUUCGUCUAUUUUGCUUGAUUAACCUAUUAAAAUCUUAGCUUCAUUGACAAUGGCCAAGUGUAGAAAAUAAGUUGAAUUCAAUUUUUUGUUUUAAACAAUCUUUGUAAACAUCUGCAACACUUAUUUCAAUAUACGUAACUAGCUCCACAAACGUGCGGAUUAGAAUUAGAACAUCCAUAAAAUAGGAUCGAUUUAGUGGAAAUCAAGUGUAAAAAAUAAUUAAUACUCUUUUGCUUAAGGAUAAAUGACUGUUUUUAUAGGUAUUUUAAUCAAUGUAAAUAGAGUAUGGCCAUCGAAUCGUGACACAACUAAUUACAAUGGCGGCAAUUCAAAAUAUCUACAACCGACAACAUUAAAUACAGCAUGAAAGGGUAGUUUUGCAUUUUUAUAUUAAUGUGACUAUGCCAUAGAAAAACACAAAUGUAUCAAAUCGUGUUAUGUUAUCUUUAAUGUUGCCAACUGAAGAUAUUUUGGAUUUUGCCGUAAAGCAGUAAUGCGUUUCAGUUUGAAGGGCGGGGCAGCCGUUGUAACUAUACUGAGACCUUAGAACUUAUAUCUCAAGGUGGGUGGCGCAUUUACGUCGUACAUGUCUAUGAGCUCCAGUAACCACUUAACAUCAGGUGGGCUGUGAGCUCGUCGAUGGGUAUCUAAGCAAUAAAAAAUAAAAAUAAAAAAAGGCAUGAAAUAAAAUGAAAUGAAAUGUGAUGAGAUAAUAUUAUGGGAGCACGUAAUGAUUUAUAUUUUAUAUAAAAAAGUUAUCAGUUAAAUAUAGUUUUUCAUAUAAAAAAGUUUUCAUUAAAAUUAAAAUAAGACUGACCUAAAGGUCUUAGUUACCAGGUCACAAAAUCCCUUAAAAAAAUCAUUUCGUGCGCAGCGCGUUUCGCAUUACGUUGUUUUUAAUUUUUGGCUUUCGUUCGUUUUCGUAAACAACCUAACGCACGAUUUCUCGUAACAGGUUCCAUUUUUAUUUUAAAGCAACCUGUUGCUGCAACAGGUUUCGUAAAAAAUUACUCAUCUUUAGUAGGAAACAGCCUCAAAAAUAUCGUUUUUAUUAAAAUAUCUCGAACAAUAAACAUAACCUAAAAUGUAAACAUUGUCUGAUUUUACCAAUUUGGCCAUUGCUGGGAGACCUGAAAAUUGGGCUCAUGAAACCUUCUUAGGUAUUGUAACUUAUGCCCAAAUUCUAGCACUGUAACGCCAGGCCCAAGUUUGUAUGGAUUUCGGGUUUGUCCUUUAUAAUUUAAAUUAAUUCAAGUCGAAUUUCGACUACUGCGGGACUACUAGUAAUAAUAAAUACGUGAAUCGGACUCACGACCAGUUCAGACAGAAUUAUUAUUCCGAACUGGAUGUUAGCAAAUCUACAAGGCUACCUGGAUAAGCCCGUGCUCGUCCUGGUAGAGCUGGAGAUGCAUUAUUCUAAUCCAUGGGCAGAUAUUUUAUAAGUAACUUCGUAAAUAUCCCUCACGGAGAUCUUCGACGACAACAAAAGAAUAACAAAGCUGUUGUAGAUAAGUUGUGAGUUUGUUUUGAGUACUGUUAGUAUUAAAUUAAUAGAUUUUUAGAUAGCUCCUUAGGUUAACCUAGUGUUUAUUUAUUUUUUGUUGCUCACGAGCUCAUAGCCCUCCUGAUGUUAAGUGGUUACUGGAGUCCAUAGACAUCUAGAACGUAAAUGCGCCACCCACCCUGCGAUAUAAGUUUUAAUGUCUCAGUAUAGUUACAACGGCUGCCCAACCCUUCAAACCGAAACGCAUUACUGCUUCACGGCAGAAAUAGGCAAGGCGGUGGUACCUACCCGUGCGGACUCACAAGAGGUCCCACCACUAAUUGUGUCUCUUUAUCUAUGUGAUGAUUUCAUAAGGAAUAACAACAUCGGAACUCCAAAAUUUAGAUAACUUAUGACGUGUUUGAGUCUUCACGCAGAAGUCCCAGAUUAUUUCUAUUCUGAACGAGUCAUGUGCCUGAUUCAAGAGUGAUAUAGAUAUUACAAUGCAAAUGAGAUGUCGAACGCGUUUCAAGCUUAACACAAAACAGCAAUUUUCAACGUGCAAACUGCAAUGAUACUUCAACGUUUGAAACGUCAGAUACAGAAGCUGCCUACGAAAAUAAGUACCAGAUGCAAGAUACAGGACGUAUGCUUCAAAUCACAGCUUGUUCAAGGCUCGGUUUUCCUGCGGGCGUUUGAGAAUUGAUAAUUAGUAAGGAGUUCUUCUUGUAAAUUUUUUACAGCCGCGAGUAGGCCUUAGCUUGGUCCAGUAAAGUUCUCCAUUGCGAUUUAUUCGUGAUUUUCCUUCUCUAAAUUAUCACCCCUAAGUUAUUUGUGUCCUGAUCGACGCCAUAUAACCAUCUGAGCUUGGGCCUGCCCUCCUAUUCAUUUCGGAUCCUCCCGAUUCACUAACGGUGCUUUUAGGUACCUCAAGCACCGGUCAUCGUUCUCGUCGAACCCGUCGCUUGCGACGUUCGUGUUAGCAACGUCGUCAGGUUUGAGCCCCGUGAGCUCACCUACUGGUUAAGGUCACGCUGAUAUAGCCUCUCAAGGCUCUCAGCUUAGGUAGGAAAAAACAAGCAUUCCUACUGCGGCUCUCCAGCCAGCCUUCCAGGAGGCGUUUGAGUACUCUAGCCUCGUCAAUUCGCGCAGAGCACGCCUUCCCAUCGCAGGCAUCUGAUCUUUGUGGUCUUCAUGACAUUCGGCUCAUCGUAAAUUUGGUUUAGCUCAGGAUUCCUUCUCCUUCUCCUUCCAUGACUAUUCCGAAGAUGCGCCUAAGUAUAUUAUUACGCCCAAAAACCAACAUGGAAUUAACAACUUACUUAGACGUUAUCAGAAGUAGUGCAACCGUUAUAUGUACAAUACAAUUGUGAUUUCUAACUCAUGUCUAUGUCGCCAAUGGGUUCCGGUAACUACUUACACGAUGGGCACCGAGAGCUAAUUUCAACACAUACGCUAUAAAAAAUAAAUCCGUGAAGAAAUCUGAUAAAGCUUUUUAAAAGCGUUCCACAUGAUGAAGACAAACACUAAAAAAUCCCUAGGUCCUUUAAAAAAAAUAGAAAUAUAUAGAUCAUAUAAGAUAUCCUUAGCUAAUGUAGACUUUAGAAAAUGUCUUCCUCGACUUAUUACCCCGCCGGCUCCGACACCGGGUCUCGACUGCAACGGCUGGCUGAACAAGCUUUAAGUGGUCUUGACGUUUAAUGCACGAGACCAUAAUGGAGCUUAUCGAUACCAUACAUAUUGAUGUACAGAAUAAACGUACGCCUUGAGAUAUCCAGACUAUUGACUGGUUAUUGCAUUCGUGUCUCAACAGCAUGAGGAAUUUAUUAGCGUACUAGCUGACCCGGCAGACUUCGUAGUGCCUCAAUCGAUAAAUAAAAGACCUAAACUUUUGUAUAAAAUAAACAUAAAUCAAAAGGAAUCCGUCUGACGGAGGACACAUCAAAGGAAAAACAUUUUUUUUACUUUUUACCUUUUAAACCUUCUCUGGACUUCCACAAAUAAUUCAAGACCAAAAUUAGCCAAAUCGGUCCAGCCGUUCUCGAGUUUUAGCGAGACUAAUGAACAGCAAUUCAUUUUUAUAUAUAAAGAUUUAGUGGUGGUAGUACCUCUUGUGAGUCCGCACGGGUAGGGACUACCACCCUGCCUAUUUCUGCCGUGAAGCAGUAAUGCGUUUCGGUGUGAAGGAUGGGGCAGCCGUUGUACUUUAAAAACUAAGACCUUAGAACUCAUAUCUCAUGGCAGGUGGCGGCAUUUACGUUGUAAAUGUCCUCAAGUGGGCCGUGAAUUCGUCCACCAAUCGAAGCAAUAUAAUAAAAUAAAAUAAAAAUCGACCUAUGGGCAAGUAAUUUGGUGAAGUAGGGCAUUGAUAAAAAAAAAAAUUAUCGUGAUGAGUCAUGCCAUUGUUCAAAUGACUAUCGCAGGCCCUCGUAUUUCUUGUUUACAACGGUCAUGUACUCUAGUUUAGAAGGUAGGUGGAGACUGUAGUUUUAAAUAAGAAUUUAAAUUUCGACUACGUGUUUUUUUUUUUUUUUUAUGAUUGAAGGAUUACUGGUGGCCCGGAGGCCUUUCCAGUUUCACCAGGACAGGUGGGCGAGCAAAGGCUCAGCCAGGAGGGGUGGGAUUUGCUAACAGCUACCCGAGCGCCUCCGAAGGAGACCUAACAACUCAAGAGUAGCUGCUUCGCGAAUGAAUCUACUACCGGAUCGGAAUCGCGACCCGCUGAGAAGAUCCGGCGAGAAACUCAGCGAGCUGAUUCAUGGGUUAGGUUGCACGGCGAACUCUUUGUCGAGUUCGACGAGUACGGUU